Molecule: ribosomal RNA, 369 nt
Filed under: Dinophysis acuminata
Lineage: Eukaryota; Dinophyceae; Dinophysales; Dinophysaceae
Description: partial Bacterial small subunit ribosomal RNA
Rfam family: Bacterial small subunit ribosomal RNA
Source: RNAcentral
AAGAAGGCCUUCGGGUUGUAAAGCUCUUUCGCAAGGGAAGAAAAGAUAUAGGUGAAUAGCUUAUGUUGAUGACGGUACCUUGACAAGAAGCACCGGCUAACUACGUGCCAGCAGCCGCGGUAAUACGUAGGGUGCGAGCGUUGUCCGGAAUUAUUGGGCGUAAAGGGCUCGUAGGCGGUUUGUCGCGUCGGGCGUGAAAUCCACCAGCUUAACUGGUGGUCUGCGUUCGAUACGGGCAGACUAGAGGUAUGCAGGGGAGAACGGAAUUCCUGGUGUAGCGGUGAAAUGCGCAGAUAUCAGGAGGAACACCGGUGGCGAAGGCGGUUCUCUGGGCAUUACCUGACGCUGAGGAGCGAAAGUGUGGGGAGC